UCGCCUGUUUAUCAAAAACAUGGCUUCUUGAGAAUAUAGGAGGUUUGACCUGCCCACUGAGGUGUUUGAAGGGCCGCAGUAUAUUGACUGUGCAAAGGUAGCAUAAUCAUUAGUCUUCUAAUUUAAGGCUUGUAUGAAUGGUUGGACGAGGCAUUUUCUGUCUUAAAUUAAUUCGUGUUGAAUUUAAAGUUUAAGUAAAAAUGCUUAAAUAAUAUUAAGGGACGAGAAGACCCUAUAGAGUUUAAUGUAUAAAAUUAUAAUUUUGUUAUAAAGGAAUAAUUUAUUAUAAUGGGUAUAUAUUUAGUUGGGGUGAUUAAAAGAUAAAAUUAACUCUUUUUUGUAGUAUAUGAGAAUUAUUAAUAUAAUAGAUUGAUCCAUUAGUUAUGAUUAUAAGAUUAAAUUACCUUAGGGAUAACAGCAUAAUUCUUUUUAAAAGUUCAUAUUGAAAGAAGAGGUUAUGACCUCGAUGUUGGAUUAAGAUAAUUUUACGUGUAGAUGUUUAAAAACUAGGUCUGUUCGACCUUUAAAAUCUUACAUGAUCUG
Molecule: ribosomal RNA, 543 nt
Filed under: Gonypeta borneana
Lineage: Eukaryota; Metazoa; Arthropoda; Insecta; Mantodea; Gonypetidae
Description: partial 16S ribosomal RNA
Rfam family: Bacterial large subunit ribosomal RNA
Source: RNAcentral